UACGAAGGGGGCUAGCGUUGCUCGGAAUCACUGGGCGUAAAGGGUGCGUAGGCGGGUCUUUAAGUCAGGGGUGAAAUCCUGGAGCUCAACUCCAGAACUGCCUUUGAUACUGAAGAUCUUGAGUUCGGGAGAGGUGAGUGGAACUGCGAGUGUAGAGGUGAAAUUCGUAGAUAUUCGGCAAGAACACCAGUGGCGAAGGCGGCUCACUGGCCCGAUACUGACGCUGAGGCA
This 231-nucleotide ribosomal RNA is filed under the name uncultured bacterium. RNAcentral's name for it is "partial 16S ribosomal RNA". It matches the Rfam family "Bacterial small subunit ribosomal RNA", at positions 524 to 753 of the family's 1533-position model. The record is from RNAcentral.